This 1361-nucleotide ribosomal RNA is filed under the name metagenome. Its description in RNAcentral is "SSU rRNA". It matches the Rfam family "Eukaryotic small subunit ribosomal RNA", at positions 4 to 1330 of the family's 1831-position model. The record is from RNAcentral.
CUGGUUGAUCCUGCCAGUAGUGAUAUGCUUGUUUCAAAGAUUAAGCCAUGCAUGUCUAAGUAUAAGCGAACUUAUACAGUGAAACUGCGGAUGGCUCAUUAAAACAGUUUGAAUUUAUUUGAUGAAUGUAUGAGAAUACUACUUGGAUAACCGUAGUAAUUCUAGAGCUAAUACAUGCAACGACGCCCGACCGUUUCACUACGGAAGGGCUGUAUUUAUUGGAUACCAAAACCAUCCUUCCCUCGGGAAGUUUUGUUUGAUGAUUCACAAUAACUGAUCGGAUCGCCACUGUGGUGGCGACAGGUCAUUCAACAUUCUGCCCUAUCAGCUUUCGAUGGUUGUGUAGUGGACAACCAUGGCCAUAACGGGUAACGGAGAAUCAGGGUUCGAUUCCGGAGAAGGAGCUUGAGAAUUGGCUACUACAUCUAAGGAAGGCAGCAGGCGCGCAAAUUACCCAAUCCCGAUUCGGGGAGGUAGUGACAAAAAAUAACAAUACCGGGCCUUUUUGGGCUUGGUAAUUGGAAUGAGGGAGAGUUAAACGGACCAUCGAGUAUCCAUUGGAGGGCAAGUCUGGUGCCAGCAGCUGCGGUAAUACCAGCUCCAAUAGCGUAUAUUAAAGUUGUUGCAGUUAAAAAGCUCGUAGUUGGACUUGUGUGCGCUGUCCGCGGGUGGCCUGCGCCCAAAAGGGCGUUUCGGUUCGGCCCCGGUGGCGCCUUGAAAUCUGCAGCUGGGGGGACGUUGGCCUUAACUGGUCGGCGACCGCACGCCGGCUGCUCGGUUACUGUGAGAAAAUUAGAGUGUUCAAGGCAGGCAUUGGGUGCAAUUGAAUACAUUAGCAUGGAAUAAUAAAAUAUGGCUCCUGCCGUAUUUUGUUGGUUUUGACUGGUGGGAGUAAUGAUUGAUAGGGACGGUUGGGGGUGCUAGUAUUGAGCGGCCAGAGGUGAAAUUCAUGGAUUCGCUCAAGACUAACUUAUGCGAAAGCAUUCACCAAGGACGUCCUCUUUAAUCAAGAACGAAAGUUGGGGGAUCGAAGACGAUCAGAUACCGUCGUAGUCUCAACCAUAAACUAUGUCGACUUGGGAUCGGCGGUAGUUUUUUCAUUAAGACACUGUCGGGACCACGGGAGAAAUCAAAGUGUCUGGACUCUGGGGGAAGUAUGGUCGCAAGGCUGAAACUUGAAGGAAUUGACGGAAGGGCACCACCAGGAGUGGAGCCUGCGGCUUAAUUUGACCCAACACGGGGAAACUUACCAGGUCCAGAGAUGUAGAGGAUUGACAGAUUGAAGCUCUUUCUUGAUCACUUCGGUGGUGGUGCAUGGCCGUUCUUAGUUGGUGGAGUGAUUUGUCUGGUUAAUUCCGUUC